This 293-nucleotide ribosomal RNA is filed under the name uncultured bacterium. Its description in RNAcentral is "partial 16S ribosomal RNA". The record is from RNAcentral.
GGACUACACGGGUAUCUAAUCCCGUUUGCUCCCCACGCUUUCGUGCCUUAGUGUCAGGAACGAGCCAGUUAUCUGCCUACGCCAUCGGUGUUCCUCCCAAUAUCUACGGAUUUCACUCCUACACUGGGAAUUCCAAUAACCUCUCUCGUCCUCUAGCCAAGCAGUUUCGAUAAUGUUUAUAUGGUUGAGCCACACUCUUUCACUACCGACACACUUUGCCACCUACGCAACUCUUUACGCCCAGUAAUUCCGGAUAACGCUUGCUUCCUCCGUAUUACCGCGGCUGCUGGCAC